AUGGCCAGUGCCAAAAGACUUGCGCAAUUGGCAAAUAAGUGGAGGGUUGAAGCACUUGGGAGGAAGAGGCUCACAAUGUCAGCCAAAGAAGACCAAGACUGCUGCAGUUCUAUACCGGCCAAGGGCCACUGUGUCAUGUACACAGCCGAUGGGAGGCGUUUCGAGGUCCCGCUGGAGUACCUCAGCACGAUGGUCUUCGGCGAGCUCCUGAGGAUGUCUCAGGAGGAAUUUAGCUUUGCAAGCGAUGGGAAGAUCACACUGCCUUGUGAUGCCGGAGUGAUGGAGUAUGCCAUGUCCCUGCUUAGGAGAAACGCCUCUGCCGGUGUCGAGAGUACAUUGCUGAGCUCUAUGGUGACAUCUUGCGCACUACACCGGCCAUAUGAUGCCUACUGUUGGAGCUAG
Molecule: ribosomal RNA, 402 nt
Filed under: Triticum aestivum (bread wheat)
Lineage: Eukaryota; Viridiplantae; Streptophyta; Magnoliopsida; Poales; Poaceae
Description: partial small subunit ribosomal RNA
Source: RNAcentral